CAAUAGGCAACUGGAGGGAGUAUGACCACGGAUCUCAUUGGCUGCCAAUCUCCGUGCAUAAGGAAGAGAGAGGGAGGCAGCCAGGGCAGCAUUGUUAUCUUAAGACACUCAUCUGGUGCCUGAGUCUGCAGGUGACACUGCUUAGGUACGGAGUACCGAGUCAGAAUAUAGAACACAGGGCUACAGACCGCCUUUGACUCAAAACGCUGAGAAGAACCGGCCCCUCCUUUAGUUGUUCCUCGAGCAGGGGGGGACCUCUCUACUAGUUAACCCACCUAUGUGGGUGCACCUGCUGUGUGUAGAGAAGGCAGGAACAAAUCAGCUAGCAGCAUGAUCUCGGCUGAAAGACUGUGGACUUGCCUUUCUCCAAGUGAAAAGCAGUGAUUGGGAGGACAAGGAGUGCGAGUCUUUUUUAGAGUUGGAAAAGAAAAUUAGGUCCUGGAUUUCUCCUCUGCAGAGGGACCUGGGACUCCCCAAGGGGCUGGCUCUGGGCUGUCCUUGCUUUUUCCGUCCUGUCUUCGCCCUCCUGAUCCAAUCCAGAAGCACUCCUUAACCAUGCUUUGGGUUACCGGAGUUCUUGGUGUUCGGCUGGAAGAGAACAGGCGAGAGGUAUAGCCGCUCCAGCAGCAAAGGGAAGACAGCAUUUGGAAGGGGUAUCCGUGCUCUCUCCCAUUCUGAAAGGAAGGCAUUCGCAUUCCCUCCAAAUAUGGGGAGAGGGGGGAAGCACGUGAAAUCAUGAAAUAAAAACUUUGGAAAGCUGCCACUGGAGAUGUGGUCGGUGCUGAAAAAACCCUGGAAUCUGUUAGGAAUCUCCUCUCAGACGCUCUGGGGCUUGGGAGCAGCUGAUACAGCAAGGAAGUCUCUUGCAAGGAUUCAAGCUUUAAUCUACAAUCAACAAACUGUCAUCAUGUCCUCAGAUGCAAUCUGUGAAUUAGGAACAUCCGACUUAAAAACGUCUCUCACAUAGGAAUGUUGGGUGACCUCUAGUCCCCUCUCUCAAGAUUCCCGUCCUACCUUCCUCAUCAAGAAAGCAACCAGACCAUCUGGGACCUCUGCCACAAUCUGGUGGGUUGCAAAGAGACUCGAAUUGUCCAACAUCCUUUAAUAUAGGGAUAGGAAUUUGGACUGGAUCUGUGACUUCAUUUGUACAGGGAACAUGGAAGUCAGGAAACU
This 1173-nucleotide long non-coding RNA is filed under the name Phascolarctos cinereus (koala). RNAcentral describes it as "lncRNA (ENSPCIG00000036650.1)". Lineage: Eukaryota; Metazoa; Chordata; Mammalia; Diprotodontia; Phascolarctidae. The record is from RNAcentral.